AGUGAACGCUGGCGGUAGGCCUAACACAUGCAAGUCGAACGGCAGCACAGUAAGAGCUUGCUCUUACGGGUGGCGAGUGGCGGACGGGUGAGGAAUACAUCGGAAUCUACUUUUUCGUGGGGGAUAACGUAGGGAAACUUACGCUAAUACCGCAUACGACCUACGGGUGAAAGCAGGGGAUCUUCGGACCUUGCGCGAUUGAAUGAGCCGAUGUCGGAUUAGCUAGUUGGCGGGGUAAAGGCCCACCAAGGCGACGAUCCGUAGCUGGUCUGAGAGGAUGAUCACCCACCCUGGAACUGAGACACGGCCCAAACUCCGACGGGAGGAAGCAGGGGGAAAUUUUGGACAAGGGGGGCAAGCCUGACCCAGCCAUCCCGGGUGGGUGAAGAAGGCCUUCGGGUUGUAAAGCCCUUUUGUUGGGAAAAAAAAGCAGCAGGUUAAUACCCCGCUGUUCUGACGGUACCCAAAGAAUAAGCACCGGCUAACUUCGU
Molecule: ribosomal RNA, 491 nt
Filed under: uncultured bacterium
Lineage: Bacteria
Description: partial 16S ribosomal RNA
Rfam family: Bacterial small subunit ribosomal RNA
Source: RNAcentral